Camellia sinensis is the source of this 576-nucleotide non-coding RNA. Lineage: Eukaryota; Viridiplantae; Streptophyta; Magnoliopsida; Ericales; Theaceae. The record is from RefSeq and is a predicted model, not a curated record.
CACACUCACCCUCUUCUAUAUAUAGGAAUCAUGAAUCAUUGUAAUAGAUAUCAAAAUAAACAUCAAUCAAUAAUACAUAAAUUUUUACAAUUAAUAUGGCAACAUGUGAUCCUAAAAUUAUGUGCAAGCUUUAUUCCUUUAUUUUCUUUAACGAUUCAUGUCAUACAUACACGACUUAUGCUACUUCAUGACUCCCGUAAUGAUGAUGGAAUCAAAAGCUUCUUUCAAGAGGUCCAUGAGCUAUAUAUAAAGAAACGGGUGAUGGAGAUGCUUUGGAGUUGGAGUGGGGGCCAAGUUGGGAAGCGGCGUCGUAAGGCUUGGGCUUUGGCCCCUCUGUUGCUAUGGUUGGAGCAGGAUCGGCAUGUUUUUCAGGAAUUGCUCGUUCUGCUUCUUGGUUAGAAGAUAGAUUUUUGCGAGACUUGUGUGGUUAGGUGUCAGGACGUGUGAUUGUUUACCUUUUUAGAUCCCUUGAUGAUGUAAUUGGCUAGUUUGUGUUUUCUGGAGGACUCUUUUGUAUUCUUUAGCAUCUUCUUGAUGCUAUUUUUCAAUAAUAUUUCAAUUAUCAAAAAAAAAAAA